RNAcentral lists this ribosomal RNA (477 nucleotides) under uncultured bacterium. RNAcentral's name for it is "partial 16S ribosomal RNA". It matches the Rfam family "Bacterial small subunit ribosomal RNA", at positions 28 to 507 of the family's 1533-position model. The record is from RNAcentral.
GAUUAACGCUGGCGGCGUGCAUAACACAUGCAAGUCGAACGAUGACACUUAGUAGACUUCUUCUUAAAGACACUAAGCGGCUUAGUGGCGAACGGUUGAGUAACGCGUGCUUAUCCUUCCUUACACAAGUGGAUAGCCUUUGGCUACGACGAAUAAUACCCUAUAACACCAUACAAGCACAUUCUAGACUGGUCAAAGUGGUAUCGGUGUAAGAUGGACUUGCUUCUGAUUAGCUAGUUGGAGAGAUAAAAGCUCACCAAGGCAACGAUCAGUAGCCGGCAUGAGAGAGUGGACGGGAAAAUUGGGAGAGAGACAAGGCCCAGACACCUAAGGGAGGCAGCAGGGGGGAAUUAUGCACAAUGGGGGAAACACUAAUGCAGCGACGCCGCGUGAUUUAGAAGGCCUUCGAGAAGUAAAAAUCGUUUGUAUAGGAAGAAAAUGACAGUACUAAACGAAUAAGGUCCGGCUAAUUACGUG